This 510-nucleotide ribosomal RNA is filed under the name uncultured bacterium. RNAcentral describes it as "partial 16S ribosomal RNA". It matches the Rfam family "Bacterial small subunit ribosomal RNA", at positions 28 to 507 of the family's 1533-position model. The record is from RNAcentral.
GACGAACGCUGGCGGCGUGCUUAACACAUGCAAGUUGAACGAAGAGCGACGGAAGCUUGCUUCUAUCAAUCUUAGUGGCGAACGGGUGAGUAACGCGUAAUCAACCUGCCCUUCAGAGGGGGACAACAGUUGGAAACGACUGCUAAUACCGCAUACGAUCUAACCUCGGCAUCGAGGAUAGAUGAAAGGUGGCCUCUACAUGUAAGCUAUCACUGAAGGAGGGGAUUGCGUCUGAUUAGCUAGUUGGAGGGGUAACGGCCCACCAAGGCGAUGAUCAGUAGCCGGUCUGAGAGGAUGAACGGCCACAUUGGGACUGAGACACGGCCCAGACUCCUACGGGAGGCAGCAGUGGGGAAUCUUCCGCAAUGGACGAAAGUCUGACGGAGCAACGCCGCGUGAGUGAUGACGGCCUUCGGGUUGUAAAGCUCUGUUAAUCGGGACGAAAGGCCUUCUUGCGAAUAGUGAGAAGGAUUGACGGUACCGGAAUAGAAAGCCACGGCUAACUACGUG